Molecule: non-coding RNA, 140 nt
Organism: Mustela putorius furo (domestic ferret)
Lineage: Eukaryota; Metazoa; Chordata; Mammalia; Carnivora; Mustelidae
Source: Rfam
GUCUAUGGCUUUACCACCUUGAAAACACCUGAUCUCAUCUGAUCUCAGAAGCUAAGCAGGGUCGGCCUGGUUAGGUACUUGAAUGGGAGGAAAGUCUCCUUUUAGUAGAGCUUAUGAAGGAAAAGGGGAAGUUGUAAUGC